RNAcentral lists this transfer RNA (72 nucleotides) under Armatimonadota bacterium. RNAcentral describes it as "Armatimonadetes bacterium tRNA-Val". It matches the Rfam family "tRNA". From Rfam's summary of the family: Transfer RNA (tRNA) molecules are approximately 80 nucleotides in length. Their secondary structure includes four short double-helical elements and three loops (D, anti-codon, and T loops). Lineage: Bacteria; Bacillati; Armatimonadota. The record is from RNAcentral.
AGGCGGUUGGCUCAGGGGUAGAGCGCUUCCUUGACACGGAAGAGGUCAUGGGUUCAAAUCCCGUACUGCCUA